CUUUUGUGUAAAAGGAGAGAAGGGUAGCACUCCCCUUGAUAAGGAUAGAAGAGGUCCUAUUGACCUUUACAACACAUACCGUCAAGGUAUUGCCACCUACUCUGUGGCAUCUAACCAUGUUUUUAG
This 126-nucleotide non-coding RNA is filed under the name Notamacropus eugenii (tammar wallaby). Lineage: Eukaryota; Metazoa; Chordata; Mammalia; Diprotodontia; Macropodidae. The record is from RNAcentral.